CCCUUAGAUGUUCUGGGCUGCACGCGCGCUACACUGAUGCGCUCAACGAGUUUACGACCUUGCCCGGAAGGGUUGGGUAAUCUUUUUAAAACGCAUCGUGAUGGGGAUAGAUUAUUGCAAUUAUUAAUCUUUAACGAGGAAUUCCUAGUAAGCGCGGGUCGUCAGCUCGUGCUGAUUACGUCCCUGCCCUUUGUACACACCGCCCGUCGCUCCUACCGAUUGAAUGUUCCGGUGAGCUCUUCGGACUGCGCGGUCUGCAGUUUCUGCGUUCCGUGCGGAAAGUUGCGCAAACCUUAACAUUUAGAGGAAGGAGAAGUCGUAACA
This 324-nucleotide ribosomal RNA is filed under the name uncultured eukaryote. Its description in RNAcentral is "partial 18S ribosomal RNA". It matches the Rfam family "Eukaryotic small subunit ribosomal RNA", at positions 1470 to 1796 of the family's 1831-position model. The record is from RNAcentral.